This 220-nucleotide unclassified non-coding RNA is filed under the name Hevea brasiliensis (rubber tree). The record is from RNAcentral. Lineage: Eukaryota; Viridiplantae; Streptophyta; Magnoliopsida; Malpighiales; Euphorbiaceae.
GUCCCAGCUUAUGAAAAAUAAGUCCCCAUCAAGAUCACCACCAGAGCAUUCAUUUGGAUGAGGCCUUUCUCCUUUCUGGGGGAAAAGAAUGCAGUCAACCAAACCCUUCUCUUCCAAUUCCACUUCAUAGACAGCAUCAAGCACUCUUACAUCUCCUGGAUGAAGACAAGGAUUUUUAGUGACAACCACCUUCCCUGUUACUAUAGAUGUCUUUUCAUCU